Molecule: ribosomal RNA, 350 nt
Filed under: uncultured Gammaproteobacteria bacterium
Lineage: Bacteria; Pseudomonadati; Pseudomonadota; Gammaproteobacteria
Description: bacterial SSU rRNA
Rfam family: Bacterial small subunit ribosomal RNA
Source: RNAcentral
AGACAGGUGCUGCAUGGCUGUCGUCAGCUCGUGUUGUGAAAUGUUGGGUUAAGUCCCGCAACGAGCGCAACCCUUAUCCUUUGUUGCCAGCGAUUCGGUCGGGAACUCAAAGGAGACUGCCGGUGAUAAACCGGAGGAAGGUGGGGAUGACGUCAAGUCAUCAUGGCCCUUACGAGUAGGGCUACACACGUGCUACAAUGGCGCAUACAAAGAGAAGCGACCUCGCGAGAGCAAGCGGACCUCACAAAGUGCGUCGUAGUCCGGAUCGGAGUCUGCAACUCGACUCCGUGAAGUCGGAAUCGCUAGUAAUCGUGGAUCAAAAUGCCACGGUGAAUACGUUCCCGGGUCUG